AACGAACGCUGGCGGCAUGCCUAACACAUGCAAGUCGAACGAGACCUUCGGGUCUAGUGGCGCACGGGUGCGUAACGCGUGGGAACCUGCCUUUAGGUUCGGGAAUAAACUCAGAGAAAUUUGAGCUAAUACCGGAUAAUGUCUUCGGACCAAAGAUUUAUCGCCUUUAGAUGGGCCCGCGUUGGAUUAGCUAGUUGGUGGGUAAAGGCCUACCAAGGCGACGAUCCAUAGCUGGUCUGAGAGGAUGAUCAGCCACACUGGGACUGAGACACGGCCCAGACUCCUACGGGAGGCAGCAGUGGGGAAUAUUGGACAAUGGGCGAAAGCCUGAUCCAGCAAUG
RNAcentral lists this ribosomal RNA (341 nucleotides) under uncultured bacterium. Its description in RNAcentral is "bacterial SSU rRNA". It matches the Rfam family "Bacterial small subunit ribosomal RNA", at positions 29 to 396 of the family's 1533-position model. The record is from RNAcentral.